Non-coding RNA from Pangasius djambal, 73 nucleotides. Lineage: Eukaryota; Metazoa; Chordata; Actinopteri; Siluriformes; Pangasiidae. The record is from the annotation of a GenBank genome assembly.
GGUGUGGUCGCUCAGUGGUUAAGACAUUGGACUCAUGAUCGGAAGGUUGAGAGUUCAAACCCCAGCACUGCCA